UGGUGUUGUUUAUCGUGGUGGCUGGGGCUCUGACCAGCGAGGCUCUGACGUGCGGCCAAGUAGCGUCUGCGCUUGGGCCAUGUCUAACUUACUUGCAAGGCCAAGCUGGUAAUUCUCCGCCGGCAGCAUGCUGCGCCGGUGUCAGGAGCCUUAACAGCGCAGCCCAAACGACGCCGGAUCGAAGAGCCGCUUGCCAGUGUCUGCAGAAUGCGGCCAGGUCUACCAACUUUGAUCAGAACAUUGCUGCUAGUCUUCCAGGCAAGUGCGGCGUCAGCAUUCCCUACAAGAUCAGCACCAGCACCAACUGCAACACGUACCUACUCAAAUCUUUAAUGAAGAUAUAUAUAUAUAUAUAUAUAUAUAUAUGUACAUAAAUAUAUAUGAACGGUCCAUUGUGUAUCUAAUUUUCUUGUUUUGCUUGUUUUUGUGGUGCAGAAUCAAGUGAAGAAAUCGAGUAGACAUGAGAAGAGAUUAGAAGAGCAUGCAUGCAUCGUCAUAUAAUAAUAAUAAUAAUAAUAAUAGUGAAAAAAUAAAGGUAGAUGCGACGUCGUUUAUGGAAGUUCAGAGCUGACGAGUCACUCUGGAUUGCUCAUAUAGUUUUCUACUACUUGUAUCACGUAUGACUGGAUGUAUGGAUAUCGUUGAAAUGAGUUUUAGCCUUGUACUCUACUUCCUUCCUCUUCCUCCUCUUUCAUUAACUACUUUAUUUAUUAAUUAAACAUAUAUAAAUACAUAUCCAACCCACAUUUAAACUACCAUUAAUCUCGGAUUGUACCUAGCUUGGGACAGUACUUGGGGUGAAAAUAACUGGAUUAUUAAUUUUUUUUAAUUUAUAAAAAAUAAAUAUAACAAAUAUAUUAAUUGAAAACAUUAUUAUAACAAAUAUAAUUAUAAAAAAUUAUUAAUUAAAAACUUUUAUUUUUCUUUAUUAAAAAAAAACUAUGCUUUUUUUUUUUUAUUUUUGGUCAAAACUCGUACUUCUUUAAAAAUUAAAAAAAAAAAACCAUAUUAAUUAUAAAAAAUUUUAUUACAUCUCGAUAGAGUUUUUAAAUGAUAUAUUUUGAUCAUUUUGGUCAUUACUUAAAAAAAAAAAAAAAUGUUAACAAUUUAUAUACAAAAUACUAUCAUUAACACUUAAAUAGUUAGAUAUCUGACUUGUAAUCACGACAAUUCAAUUACAAAAUAUAAAACUCUACGAACCGAACUAUAUCUACCUAAGUCGAGUGAAGUAUACAUCAAAUACUUUUUCUAUUUUCUUUCCAAUUGCAGCUAGGCUAUUAUGGACUUGAACUAGAUACAUCACUCAGUGAAAUAAAUAUCACACUUACGGUUUAAUUAAUUAGAAGAUAAUUAAAAAGUAAAAAAAUUUUACUUUUUUAUUCAACCAAACAUGUAUUAUUUAUUUGGAUUGGCUCGAGUCAGCGAACUUAAAUCCCGUUGUGAACAAAAGCGGUUUGAAUGGGCCGAUUCGGCUCAAACCGAGCCCCCUAGUCCCACAUAAUAAAAUUAUUUAUUUAUUAAAUUGUUGGCAAAUUAAUUGAACUGCAGAAGUCGAAGGCUAUAAAUUUCACGUUACGGCCAUGGAUGUAUGUACAGUCAAAACCCGCUUGUCCACGUGUCAAUUUUUUAUGGGCUGGGCUGCUGGGUGUACGGCGCAGAUUUGACAAAUUAAAAGCGCCUUACCAAAAAAGUCUUUCAUCAUUUGGAGCUUUCCGGUGUGUGUGAAUUUUUUUAAAGAGUUACGGAAAAUAAGGUUUGUAAACUAAUUAUUUGGAAACUUUUUCAGAAAAAAAAAUAAAUAAGAGUUUUUAAAUCUCUUCAAAUUCCUAUAAGUUCUUAUUGGGAUGAUUUAAAACAUUUAAUCAACAUUCUUAAGAGUUAAAUUUAAUAAAUAUACGCACUUAUAAUAGCAUUACUAUAUUAUUAAUAGCGAAAUUAAAAUUUAAUUUAUUAGUAUGUUAAUAGAAUUUUAACGACUAAUUAUGAAUAAGUUUCACUAAAUCUAUUACCUUUAUGAUCCAAAUAAACAUUUUGACAAUUAUGUUUAUUUAGUUGAAUAAUCGUAAUAAAUUAAAAACUCAAUAUAAUAUUUUUAUCAUUAAAACAAAAUUGUAUUAUUGAUAGUUAAGAUUAUAAAAUUAAACUUUUUUACACCCUAAAAACUUAUUAACAUAAACAUAUUCUUAAAUUAUAGUGUAAAUUAAUUAAUGUUAUAUGUAUAAUUAAAUUUACUAUUUGUAAAAAUAUUACAGUAUGAGAUUUAUAUAAGGUAUUGGAUAUAUAUAUAUAUAUUUGAAAUAAUAGUUAGGAAACUUAAAAAAUAGAACGAAUGUUUGAUAUCAAAAUCAUGGUCAUUGAAGGACCUCCAAAUUAUUAAAAAUUUAAAUUUGAAAAAAUUCAAAUUAAAUAUAUGUGUAUUAAAUUUUUUUAAACAUUCAAGAUAUUUAUAUGUUUAAAUUAACAAUAUCAUAUUAUAUAACCUAUUGAUUAAAUCACAUAUAUUGAAAUUAAUGAAAUAAACCAACAUCUUUAAAUAUCAAAUUUAAUUUCUUUGGGGAUUUGAUUAAUAUAUUACAUUAAAUAAUUAAAUCUAUAGUAUAUAAUUUUUAUAAUGUAAUGUGAUAUGCAAAUAAAUAUAUAAAGUAGUAAUAGUAAUAAUAUAAGAGAUUGAAAAAUUAUGUACACGAUUUGAUAGAUUUCUAAAAUUUAAGUGUAAUUGGCUACAAUUUACUUGUCAAGUACACAACUACAAAAAUAAAAUUAUUAAUUAAAUCCUCAUGUCCUGUAAAUUCAAAAAAUGUAUAAAUGUGCGGCAACUUAUUGAAUUAAAAUUGGCCCAACCACCAACUAGCCCAUCACCCGACUUUCAUACUUCUACACACUCUCCCCUCCAGCUCUCUCACUAUAUAACACCCAGCCGAGCCCUCAUCUUUCCUCACAAGGCAUAGAUCAGAAAGAAGAAAAGAAAAAAAGAGUGAGGAAUUCAGAGAUAAGCAUGGCGAUCGUGAAGUUGGCUUUUGGUUUGGUGUUGUUUAUGGUAGUGGCUGGGGCUCUUACCAGCGAGGCUCUGACGUGCGGCCAAGUAGCGUCUGCGCUUGGGCCAUGUCUCACUUACUUGCAAGGCCAAGCUGGUAAUUCUCCGCCGGCAGCAUGCUGCGCCGGUGUCAGGAACCUUAACAGCGCAGCCCAAACGACGCCGGAUCGAAGAGCCGCUUGCCAGUGUCUGCAGAAUGCGGCCAGGUCUACCAACUUUGAUCAGAACAUUGCUGCUAGUCUUCCCGGUCAAUGCGGCGUCAGCAUUCCCUACAAGAUCAGCACCAGC
This 3322-nucleotide long non-coding RNA is filed under the name Carica papaya (papaya). RNAcentral describes it as "long non-coding RNA (CPAP_LNC005243)". Lineage: Eukaryota; Viridiplantae; Streptophyta; Magnoliopsida; Brassicales; Caricaceae. The record is from RNAcentral.